UUCAUAAUUUUAUCUUUCAAUAUAGAAAGAAAGAAAGAAAUUAAAAAUUUGUAAGAAAUAGAUUGACAUCAAUGAUUUAUUGAAAAAUGUAUACAAUAUGCUUGUUUUAGUUUAGACAUAUCCUUAUUAAUAAUGUUUUGCAAGAAUCAAGUAAGAGUGGGUUUGUUAAGGUAAGCCAAAACACCAACAAAAGGAGCGUUGAUGUAAGUGGUUGGUUCUGAUUGGGUGCAAUUGUAACGAGAAUCCUGAAAGGAAUCAUCGAAUGCUGGUCCUCCAACAACAGCACCUGUGAGAACGUUGGGAUUGGGUUCAUCUGAUUUGAAGAAUUCAUCUCCAUCUCUGCACCCAAUGUGUGCUGGGUGUGCAUCCAAAGAUGCUAUCACUGAACCACGAUGGUGUAUCUUCUCAGGAAACUUGCUUCCAAACCCCACCAUGAAUGACAUUCCCAGUGGAUUUUUUCCCAGAAUGUAAUCAGCCUGCAAUCAUCACAUCAUACGCAUAAUCAAACAUGUAAUCCAAUUCAAGAAGUAGACUUAAUCGUAACUCAACCUUAAGCUUAUAAAAUGAGGUAUGAUACCUGACGUUUUGCAAUAUUUAUCAGGGUAUUCGGAUUCACAACUUCUUGCCCACAUGGUAUUGUUUUAUUCACAGCAUUCAUGUAACGUGCAUAAACAAUUGAGAGAAAUGACAGAGCUGUUGCGUGUUGUAGAUUACUUCCUCCAGGUUUGAAUAGAAGACCACCUAAUCAAAAUAGUUUGAUAAGUGUCAAUAUUAUACUACAACAUUAUUAACAUUUUUACUCUUUCAGUUUGAUACCUUUGGAGUAGGACACUGAUUUGGUAGGUGAAUUCGGCAGAAAAGAACACAUAAGUUUAUCUGCAUUAGGAAUGAAAAGGUCUGCACUGCUUGAAUCACCCAUCGCCCACUGCAAAAAUUCCAAGGAUUGAAACUUAAUUAGAUCAAAAUAGAAAAUCUUGUAAAAGUUACACCAAAAAAGAUUAUGAAAGAUAACUAACCUGAGAAACAAGCACAUUUAUCCCAGCCUGUUUGCUAUCCCAUCCAAAAUCAAAAAGACCAGCGUCCAUAGUUUGAAUGUUUGAUUUUACAAAAUCCCAAUAACUGGCUGUGUUUGUGGCUUUAUACAACCACGAUGCUCCCCAAAUCAACUCAUCCUGGUUUAUGCAUGAUAAUGGUAAUGACUUGUAUUUGGUUCUUGGUGAAACAAUUAUGAAUAUCAUGAGAGUGAAACAUUAACACAAACACAUACCAUGUAGCCGUUAAAAUCACAGUAGAAGGGGCAUACUCCCUCACCUACGCUGGUAUUAUAAGAUCCACGAUAUUUGUUUGCAAAGUCAAACACCUAAGAAAGACAAGCUUCUAGAAGGAAUUAGUAUUAAUAACAGUUGGUGAGUAUGCAUUUAGUGUAAAAUUGAAAUAAUACCUGGAUAGCUCUAUCAAGAAGAAUUUUGGAAUAGGAAGCAUCGGUUGCCCUAAAUGCCAUGGAAGAUGCUGCAAGUGCUGCUGCAAUCUCACCAGCGAGUUCUGAACCUGGCUUCUGAGGAGUGAGAAAGUACGAGGUUCGAGGAGUGUCCAUGUCUUCUGGUCUCUCCCAACAGUCAUGGUCGGCAUUUGGAUCUCCAACUUGUGCCACAAUAAUAUUAGGAGACUUUGUGGCUUUAAGGAAAUAGUCUGUUCCCCACCUGAUUGCAUCUAAUGCAUUGUUCAGCUCCGAACCCAUCAGAUCUCCAAAUUCCACCACACUCCAUGAUAGCAUAGUCGUUGUGAAUGCCAUUGGAAAAUUGAAUUUGACAUUGUCGCCAGCAUCAUAGUAUCCACCCACCAUGUCUAUCUGAAACCAUUCAGUUUAUAGAAUGAAACAUAUAUGCACUCUUCAAUUACCAACACACAUGUUAUAUUAUAGCAUAAUCAUGUAAUGAAUACUUUCAUUCAGUUAAUUCAUUUAUAAAAGUUAAGGAAAUGUGUUAUUUAGGCUAAUUAGUAGUACAAAUUUAUGUAUAAUUUAUAACGUUAAAUAUAUAUAUAUAUAUAUAUGCUUAACUUUUAUAUAUAUAUGUACGACAGUCAGAAGUCUCAGCACUAACAAUCGUCACACGACCAAAUUCAUUAUGCUUAAACAGAAGAUUAAUAAGACUAAUAAGUGAUCAAACAUUAGGUAAUACACUCUUAAUCAUGGUUCAAAGUCUUAAUCUGACCUAAUAACAAAAGACUCAUGAUAAUCAUAUAAAUAGGUACAAAUUUUGAGAAUAAGGUACAUCUUUAUUUAGUACUAAUAGUACUGCAUAUCGAAUACUGAAUACCGAGAUUUCACUAAAGCGUCAGAAAACCUUUUGCAGGUACCAUUUGAACUAAGAGUUCCCGAUGACGAAAAGUAGAGGAGUGAAAGGAGAACGCUUAACCCAUUUCAAGAAGAAGGAAGGAGUACUAAAUGGACCAACCAAAAAUAAAGAUAAUCAUUCUACUUCCAAUCUUGUUUGAAAAUUAUUAAUAUGUUUAUGAUUUUAAUUUUUUGUUAAAAACAAAUAAUAGGAAGGUGACUUAGAGUAAAAAGGUAAAAAUAGAGAAAUAAAAUGAGGAAUUAAUUACACGAAUAUCCGAGCCAUCAGAAAGUGCUGAAUCUUUCCGCCAUUUCAUGCGCUGAGAAGGUGGCAACUUGCCUGACCUCUGACCUUCGAAGAACAAAAUGCUCUUUCCUAAUGCUUCUUCAUAGUUUAUCGAAUCUUCACUUUUCACUGUAAUAAUCAUCAUCAUCAUCAUCACCAUAACUGUAAUUCCUACUAGCCAUGAUGUUUUCGACAUUGCUACUCUGCAAUCUCACCAUUCACCUCUUCAACACUAUAAAUAACAAUACACACAUAUAGAACAACAUAAAUCUAUGUAUGGAAAAAAUAAUUAGUGCUAAUUAGUAUCUGAAAUAUUGAAAUAUUUCUGACAAAUAAUUACUUAAAUUUGUUGUCUUUGAAUAGCGGUUGACAACUGUGGAACACUUUCUAUUUUUUACAUCUUUUUUAUUACGAUUUUAAAUUCAAUAUUUAUGUUAACCGUUAUAUAAAAUUCUGUAAUGUUUCAAUCACUUCGAGUUUACAGAAGUUUUGCAAAAUCAAUUAUAAAAUUUGGAAUGUAAUAAGCGAAUAUAGAAAAUCAAUUAUCAAUUAAAAGAAUUUUUGGAAUAUUAAAGUAUCAUGCACCAUUUCUGACAGUUAAUUACGUUUAUUUGCGGUGAUAAAUAUUGUAAGUUAAGUAUAUAUAGUAAUUUUCAAGUGUCAUAACUUUUUAUUUCUUUCUGUAUCAAUGGAUGUUUUGUCAAAUAACUACCUUCCUUUAUAUUUUCUCAUUUUCUCACAUAUUUUACUCACUCUAAAUCAUACACAUUUUUACUGCAUAAAAAUCAUUAAAUAAAAAUUAAUUUUAAAAAUAAAAAAAUAAUUAGUUACUAUAUUGAUUAAGUUAGAUACUAUCUUAGAGACUUAAAAAAAUUAUUGAUUUCUAAAUUAGUUUCUAUUAUUGAUAAAUAGUUUUUAAAUUGGUAUCUAAUUAGCUAAUAAGAUUUUUGCUAUCAAAUUUAGAAUCUAAAUAAUUGGUAGUUAAAACCAAAACUUUGGUAACUAAUUAGAUAUCAAUUUAGAAACUAUUUAUUAAUAAUAAAAACUAAUUUAGAAACUAAUAAUUUUUUUAUUCUUUAAAAUAGUAUCUAAUUUAGUUAAUAUAUAACACAUAAUUAUUUUUAGUCUCUAAAAUUGGUUUCUAUUUAAUGAUUUUUUAGUAGUACUAUUUUUAAUAUAUAUUUAAAACAUUACAUUUAUACAUUAUUUUCUAUACAUUUAAAAUAAUUAUUUUAAGUUAUCUCUCUUCAUAAAUCAAAUGUCGUGGGGUUCACCCGAAGGUGUAAAAAAGAAAGUACUAUAUAUACUCCUUCAUCUUUUUAAAAUAUUUUUUUAUAAAAGUUGAUGUUCUUUAACCCAUUCCUAACUAUUUUUAGUGUUCAAGAAUUUUUCAAAUAAAUAAAAAAGUAAUUUGCAAUAUUGUUGUAUUAAGUUUUUUUUUUAUUAUUAUUUAUCAGCUGUUGUAUUAAGUAUGUAUUUGGGAAGUGAUUAACUAUGAAAUCUCAUGUUUCGGUGAAGUGGGAAAUUUGAGUCUUGGGUAGGUAUUUUUUCUUUAUAUAUUGAGUUUUAUGUGCUCAAGUUUUGUUAUUGUGGUAUGAAUAUGGAAGUAAUGUAAAGUAAUUGUAUUUGGACAUUUUAAAUCUGCUAAAUGUGUAAAGUGGUUAAGUUUAAUCUUAGAACUAGUUUUUAAAAAUGAUGCAAAAUGCAUAAUUCAUUUCAACAAAUGGAAUUUUGUUUAAAAAAUUAUAUUUGAAGAACUAACUUACUCUGAAAUAUUGGGUUAAUUAACUUUUAUAAAUUUAGGUAAUAAAUUUAAACCCAAAUGCAUAUAUUAACUUUUGUUUUAAUUUCGCUUAAUUUAUUUUAAUUCGCUCAGAAAAUUUCUAAAAAAAUAACAAAAAAACUAAAAUUUUAUUAUUUGCAUAUUUUUUUUGAAAUAUAUGAUUUCUUUCUCUAAAUUAUUCAUGUUUAUAAUUUUUUUUUCAUUUCCCAUCUCUUAAAAAGUAUUGACACUUUAUAAUUAGUCUUAUAUCUUUAAAUUUAAGACAACAAAUUUGUUUUUCAUAUAUCAUUUAUAAUUUUAUCUUUCAUCAUACCUUCCUUUCACAAUUUCAUAUAUAGUAGACCAUUUUUCAACUACUUUUAACAUAAUAGUUAAUAUAUAUAUAUAUAUAUAUUUUAGCAAAGAGGAAAGUCACCUUCCUACAACAUACAAUUGAACUAGCAACUUAGUCUUUAUUUCCUUUUAAUCUUAGUUGUUUCCUUUCGUUUUUUACUCGCAUUUAUCUCGAAUGAUUUGAAUUUUGAAUAUCCACCUAAUUCCAUGAUUCCCAUUUCAUCACUCCUAUUGGAGUAAAUACAUGUUUUCAUAAAUAUCGUGAUCAAUAACAGAUGUUCUUAACAGUAUUAUUGAACUUGAUCCAUGACCACACAAAAUAAAUAAAUAUAUAUAUAUAUAUAUAUUAUUUUAAAAAUUAUAAUGAAAUGAUUAUUUGUAUUAAGAAACAUUAAAAAGACAAUGGAACAUUGAAAAUUAUUGAAUAAGAAUUAUCCAUCUUAGGUAUAAGAGAUAUAUAUAUAAGAAGAGGAGAGACAGAAAACAAACAUAAGUAGGAGGUAUGGUGAGAAAGAAAGAAAGUGAAAGAAGAAAAUUGAAGAUUUGUAAGAAAUAAAUUGAUAUCAAUGAUUUAUUGAAAAUUAUAUACAAUAUGUUUGUUUUGUUUUACACAUAUACUUAUUAAUAAUGUUUUGCAAGGAUCAAGUAAUAGUGGGUUUGUUGAGGUAAGCCAAAACACCAACAAAAGGAGCGUUGAUGUAAGUGGUUGGUUCUGAUUGGG
RNAcentral lists this long non-coding RNA (5458 nucleotides) under Phaseolus vulgaris (common bean). RNAcentral describes it as "long non-coding RNA (PVUL_LNC000004)". The record is from RNAcentral. Lineage: Eukaryota; Viridiplantae; Streptophyta; Magnoliopsida; Fabales; Fabaceae.